UAAUAAAUACACUUCAGCAAUACCGAACUGAGCCUGACUCAGCCGUAAACAAAUAAAUAAAGACGGGUGUCACAAUGAUGAAUAAUAUAUCCGGAGUCAAAUACUGGUCGUGGAUCGCCGCGUUCUCUCUGUCGAUUCUCUUCUGGUCCCAGCUUAUCUGGCUCUCCCUACACUGAAAAAUAAAGCCUCGCUCAAGCGGGGCUUUUUCUUUU
Molecule: small RNA, 212 nt
Filed under: Leclercia adecarboxylata
Lineage: Bacteria; Pseudomonadati; Pseudomonadota; Gammaproteobacteria; Enterobacterales; Enterobacteriaceae
Description: Enterobacterial sRNA STnc180
Rfam family: Enterobacterial sRNA STnc180
Source: RNAcentral